This 938-nucleotide ribosomal RNA is filed under the name Ferroplasma acidiphilum. RNAcentral's name for it is "bacterial SSU rRNA". It matches the Rfam family "Archaeal small subunit ribosomal RNA", at positions 1 to 945 of the family's 1478-position model. The record is from RNAcentral. Lineage: Archaea; Methanobacteriati; Thermoplasmatota; Thermoplasmata; Thermoplasmatales; Ferroplasmaceae.
UUCCGGUUGAUCCCGCCGGAGGCCACUGCUAUCAAGUUCCGACUAAGCCAUGCGAGUCAAGGUAUCGUAAGAUGCCGGCAAACUGCUCAGUAACACGUGGAUAAUCUAACCUUGAGUAAGGGAUAACUUCGGGAAACUGAAGGUAAUACCUUAUAAUUGCUUAAAACUGGAAUGUUUUUGCAAUAAAAGUUACGACGCUCAAGGAUGAGUCUGCGACCUAUCAGGUAGUAGGUGGUGUAAUGGACCACCUAGCCUCAGACGGGUACGGGCCCUGGGAGGGGUAGCCCGGAGAUGGACUCUGAGACAUAAGUCCAGGCCCUACGGGGCGCAGCAGGCGCGAACACUGUGCAAUGCGCGAAAGCGCGACACGGGGAGCUUGAGUGUCUUGGCAUAGCCAAGACUUUUCUCAUUCCUAAAAAGCAUGAGGAAUAAGUGCUGGGUAAGACGGGUGCCAGCCGCCGCGGUAACACCCGCAGCACGAGUAGUGGUCACUUUUAUUGAGCCUAAAGCGUUCGUAGCCGGUUUUGUAAAUCUUCAGAUAAAGCCUGAAGCUUAACUCCAGAAAGUCUGAAGAGACUGCAAGACUUGAGAUCGGGUGAGGUUAAACGUACUUUCAGGGUAGGGGUAAAAUCCUGUAAUCCCGGAAGGACGACCAGUGGCGAAAGCGUUUAACUAGAACGAAUCUGACGGUAAGGAACGAAGGCUAGGGUAGCAAACCGGAUUAGAUACCCGGGUAGUCCUAGCUGUAAACAUUGCCCAUUUGAUGUUGCUUUUCCGUUGAGGGAAGGCAGUGUCGGAGCGAAGGUGUUAAAUGGGCCGCUUGGGAAGUAUGGUCGCAAGACUGAAACUUAAAGGAAUUGGCGGGGGGGCACCGCAACGGGAGGAAUGUGCGGUUUAAUUGGAUUCAACGCGGGAUCGAAUUCCGCGGCCGCAUGCGG